Molecule: long non-coding RNA, 1831 nt
Organism: Dromaius novaehollandiae (emu)
Lineage: Eukaryota; Metazoa; Chordata; Aves; Casuariiformes; Dromaiidae
Exons: 3
Source: RefSeq, a predicted model, not a curated record
AUUCACGAUGAACUCCGGCGCAGAGCAGUCAUUGUUCAGCUGGAACUCUUCGCACUGGUAGCACUGUAUUUGCAGACCGAAGCCUAGAACAGACAGAGUUUUGCUCAGAAUAACAACAAAAAGAGAAUAGAAGUCGGCUGCAAGAACGUGUUAGAGCUGCACCCUGGACACCUCCUACUAAAAGCCAAACAAGAACCAUAGAAACAUCUGUUGAAGAGGGAAAAAAAAAGGCAACAAAGCAGCGAAGACAUAGCAUGUGCUAAGAUGUGGCAUAACUGACGAGAGCAAGAGCUACUUCCCCACCAUUUAUACAAAGGAGGAGGAAAAAAAGCGCCAAACAGUGGAACUGGGAAGCCCGGUGGUGUGAUCAGGCAGCUCAGAGACCAGCGGAGCGGAGGUCCUGGCUGUGUCUAGUUGCAGAACCUCAUUUCAAUGCUACCUCCAGAAAAUUCUCCGUGGAGAGACAGAGGCCUGUGUUGUUCUCCUCACUAGAGAGCAUCUGAAAUGCAGUUCAACAUACAGGACCUGGCAUCUGCACCAGUACACGUGGUAGUUAAUCAAAUGUUUUGCACUGACUUCAGUAGACUUUGGAUCAGACUCUUAAUGCAUUAGAGAGAUAAAUUAUUUAACUUACUGAGUUCCCCUAGAAACAAAAUAUUGAGCUGCAAACAAAGCUAACAAACACCAAAUGGGAUACCAUCUGCUGCAAUGAACAGAACACGACCAGUUCCCCCCAUGCUUGAUAUUCUUCCAAAAUACAAUCUGAAAUAGGUUUGUUAAACUCCCAACUGCCUCACAAAAUUGGCUUAGCACAGGUUAGCAAAUGCUGAUGCCACCAGCAACAGCAGGCCAGACUCUGAUAUAUCAAUUGAAGUUGUCUAUGAUUUUAUUUCUGUUGGACUGCCCUGAAUAAAGGCUGUGCGUGUCUUUCUGCAUAUCUUUAGCUAUCCAGACGCUACGGAGAAGUUUCAUGGUCUGUAUCCUAGGGCUUAUGGACACUGACUGGUUUCUGCUCCUGCAUACAUAUGGAUAAUAGUUAUCUAUAUAAUGAUGCAUUCAUAAAUCCAGAUCCUUCUAGCCUUUGACUUCCAGACUCCAUGCCAUACAUCUCUCCAUGGAACCAGGAUACGGAAGCAAAAGAAACCCUAUCUCCCACAGGAAUGGCAGGAGCUACUUGAAAUCCGGAGUCCGGACCAUUCCCCUCUUGGUACCGAAGCUGGAGGCUGUGGUAGAGAACGAGUGUUCCUGAACACUUUCACAGGGACAGAAGGACGUUGCUCAGCUAACCGCAGUGCACGUAUCACUAGGGGAUGCCAUCAAUGUUAGCUCCCUUUCCACUCAGAAAAUAUACUAACUGAGCAACCAGGUGGUCUCUACAUAAUGGGAGAAAGAAAACCCAAACAAUAUUUGUCCUGUAGAACAAAUCAGGAAGACGAAUGCCUUCAUACUUAAAUUUCCUACAUAGCCAGAGAGUUUGUCUUCUAGUAUCAGCACUACAACUGAUGAAACUGCCAUGAGCUAACAGAGCUUCCAAAGACGAUUCCGUUUUUAUCAGAUAACAAGAACAGGCUACUGCUCUCCACAUCACUCAGCUGGUUUAGAUGGUCACUGCUGCUCUUCUGCUGCCUCUGUUUUCAUCACUGUGCUGCUAAUGAUGGCACAGUACAGAUUCCAUUUUUUUGCAGUCCAGCUUGUUUAUAGAAAUGCUGUAUUACUAACAAACUCUUUGGUACUACUGCUUGUUACAGUGGUUAUCAGCGACAUGAAAAGAAUGGAUGUGCAAAUAAUAAUAAUAAUAAUAAAGUCUUUUAAGUUAUAUAGAUGGUACAGU